Molecule: long non-coding RNA, 269 nt
Filed under: Pan troglodytes (chimpanzee)
Lineage: Eukaryota; Metazoa; Chordata; Mammalia; Primates; Hominidae
Description: long non-coding RNA NONPTRT000656
Source: RNAcentral
GGCAGCCCACCUGUUCCCGUAGAGCAGUGUGACUGCCUCUGAAUCUGUGUUGACCAGGCUGGUGAGUAUGUACGUCCUCCUCCAACACCUAAUAAGGCAAUAUUUUCCUUUUUCUUCCUCUAGUUCCUUAUGUAAAGAAUGUUUAAUUUCCCUUUGUCUUUUGUCAUUUGACUUUCAUUUCCCAUUUUGGGUUUUCUGCUUCUCUGACACGGAGCCUUCUGUUCUGCCCUGCUUCAUUUCUCUUCUUGGUGGAUUUGACCUAAGUUCCA